This 386-nucleotide ribosomal RNA is filed under the name uncultured bacterium. RNAcentral describes it as "bacterial SSU rRNA". It matches the Rfam family "Bacterial small subunit ribosomal RNA", at positions 28 to 416 of the family's 1533-position model. The record is from RNAcentral.
GAUGAACGCUGGCGGCGUGCCUAAUACAUGCAAGUCGAACGGGGAGUAGCAAUACUUCUAGUGGCGAACGGGUGAGUAACGCGUUGGUGACCUGCCCCGAAGCGUGGGAUACCAAUCCGAAAGGAUUGCUAAUACCGCAUGGAGUUCUCGAGAUUAGAGGCUUUGGGAACGAAAGGAGACAUUCACUUCGGGAGGGGCCUGCGUCCCAUCAGCUAGUUGGUGAGGUAACGGCUCACCAAGGCGAUGACGGGUAGGGGACCUGAGAGGGUGGCCCCCCCACAAUCGGAACUGAAACACGGUCCAUACACCUACGGGUGGCAGCAGUAGGGAAUAUUGCAAAAUGGGCGCAAGCCCGAUGCAGCAACGCCGCGUGGACGAUGAAGGCC